RNAcentral lists this ribosomal RNA (206 nucleotides) under Bregetovia limosae. RNAcentral's name for it is "partial 16S ribosomal RNA". The record is from RNAcentral. Lineage: Eukaryota; Metazoa; Arthropoda; Arachnida; Sarcoptiformes; Avenzoariidae.
UAUGAAUGAAUUUACUAAUACGGCUUUUUGUUUUUUCUGAAUUUAUAUUUUGUUGAAAAUAACAAAAAUAACUUUAAGACUAAAAGACCCUAAAAUUUUUAUAAUAUGAUUUUAUUAUUUAGUUGGGGAAAUAGUAAAAAAUUAAUAUUUUAAAAGGUUUUUAUUUUAGAACUUUUUUUAUUGAUAAAUGGUAAAAUACUCUAGGG